CUGUCCCUUCUGCCACUGUGAAGUGGCUCUCGGGAGUGAACAAGUCUGCCAAACGUGGAUGGAAGGUUGCUGUUUCAGCAGGGACUGCAAGUUCAGGCACAUGAGAAUUGAUGUGUUUGCCUAAAGAUGUGCUCUCCAACUUAGUCCACAAAACCACUUUUCAUUGCUAUAGAAGAAGCACAGUGAGAUUCCCUGCUUUUGGGAGAAUCAGCCAGGAGGCUGUCAGAAAGCCCACUGCACUUUUCUUCACCUGAAGGAACGCAGUGGGAACGGACCGACUGUACCACCAAGCAACGAAGCUGAUGUAAGUGGCCUCCCUGUGAACAGUCUUGCAGCCUUGCAGAAAGUCUGGGGAACCAGACAGAGGUUCAGAAGGCACCAGAGAGAGGUACAGGUACUGAACAGGCACCUGGGUUUGAUACACUGUCUUUCUACUUAGAUUUCCUGAUUGCUCUUUCCUGGGACUGUUCUCUGCAGUUGACAUUCCAACUUCCUCCCAUGGCCUGGCUGGACAAAAACGCAAGAGAUCUGAGGAGAGGAAGGGAAAAGCAAAGAAACUGCCUUGCAAGACAAGACUUAAAGGUGGACACAAGGUAUCUGUGAGGCCUAUGGACUGGAAAACCACCUUUCCCAAGAUACAGAGAUGGAAGCGAAAGGCAGCAGAGAUGUAUCUGUCUGUUGCUGAGGACGUGGAUGAGCCCCCAGCCAGAAAACCACCUAUGUUUGGAACUGCUUCCAGGAAGCCAAGAAGACUCUGUGGCACAGUCUGAGGACUUAAAACUCAACAUCCCAUUCCUCACAAGAAGCAGAUGAGCUUUCAGUCUGCAGAAGGCACUUCGGUCUGCUGAGGUCUCUGCUGUGCCUGCUGCCACUAGCCACAGUAAUGGAGCAGAGCAAACUGCAUCAGCACACAGGAUGGGAUGCAGUAGCAGCAAGAAGUUCCAGGGGAGCAUAAGCUGCAGACCUACGUGUGGAUGGCCAAAUGCUUGUGCAUUCCCGUGGGAUAAAGCAAGUGAAGUUCCAUCUGCACCAGCCUCUUUUCUUACCUCUCCUUCACACAGAUGGCUUUCACAAUGCAUCAGUGUUGAAACAAUUUAAGGGCCUGGCAAGA
Long non-coding RNA from Lagopus leucura (white-tailed ptarmigan), 1111 nucleotides. RefSeq lists it as uncharacterized. Lineage: Eukaryota; Metazoa; Chordata; Aves; Galliformes; Phasianidae. The record is from RefSeq and is a predicted model, not a curated record. The transcript is spliced from 6 exons.